UCAAAAACAUGUCCUUUUGUUAAUAAUUUAAGGUCUGACCUGCCCAAUGAAUAUUUAAAUGGCCGCAGUAUUUUGACUGUGCAAAGGUAGCAUAAUCAUUAGUUUUUUAAUUGUAAGCUGGAAUGAAUGGUUUGAUGAGAAAAUAACUGUCUCGAUUUAAUUGUUUUAGAAUUUUAAUUUUAAGUGAAAAAGCUUAAAUUUUUAAGGAAGACGAGAAGACCCUAUAGAGUUUAAUAAUUUUAUAUUAUGAUUGGUUUUAGAUUUAUUUAAAAUUUUAAUAUAUGAUUAUUUUAUUGGGGUGAUAUUAAAAUUUAAUAAACUUUUAAUUUAUUUAAACAUUUUUUUGUGAUUAUUUGAUCCUAAUUUUUAGAUUAUAAGAUAAAAUUACCUUAGGGAUAACAGCGUAAUUUUUUUUGAGAGUUCUUAUCGAAAAAAAAGUUUGCGACCUCGAUGU
RNAcentral lists this ribosomal RNA (454 nucleotides) under Callyntra planiuscula. Its description in RNAcentral is "partial large subunit ribosomal RNA". It matches the Rfam family "Bacterial large subunit ribosomal RNA", at positions 1807 to 2532 of the family's 2925-position model. The record is from RNAcentral. Lineage: Eukaryota; Metazoa; Arthropoda; Insecta; Coleoptera; Tenebrionidae.